Molecule: ribosomal RNA, 618 nt
Filed under: uncultured bacterium
Lineage: Bacteria
Description: bacterial SSU rRNA
Rfam family: Bacterial small subunit ribosomal RNA
Source: RNAcentral
ACGAGUGGCGGACGGGUGAGUAAUGUCUGGGAAACUGCCUGAUGGAGGGGGAUAACUACUGGAAACGGUAGCUAAUACCGCAUAACGUCGCAAGACCAAAGAGGGGGACCUUCGGGCCUCUUGCCAUCGGAUGUGCCCAGAUGGGAUUAGCUAGGAGGUGGGGUAACGGCUCACCUAGGCGACGAUCCCUAGCUGGUCUGAGAGGAUGACCAGCCACACUGGAACUGAGACACGGUCCAGACUCCUACGGGAGGCAGCAGUGGGGAAUAUUGCACAAUGGGCGCAAGCCUGAUGCAGCCAUGCCGCGUGUAUGAAGAAGGCCUUCGGGUUGUAAAGUACUUUCAGCGGGGAGGAAGGGAGUAAAGUUAAUACCUUUACUCAUUGACGUUACCCGCAGAAGAAGCACCGGCUAACUCCGUGCCAGCAGCCGCGGCAAUACGGAGGGUGCAAGCGUUAAUCGUAAUUACUGGGCGUAAAGCGCACGCAGGCGGUUUGUUAAGUCAGAUGUGAAAUCCCCGGGCUCAACCUGGGAAUUGCAUCUGAUACUGGCAAGCUUGAGUCUCGUAGAGGGGGGUAGAAUUCCAGGUGUAGCGGUGAAAUGCGUAGAGAUCUGGAGGA